AUCUAAAUAGUUUAACUAAAAUUUUGAUUUGUGGAAUCAAGGAUAUGAAAUUCAUUUUAGAUU
Molecule: transfer RNA, 63 nt
Filed under: Ischnosoma splendidum
Lineage: Eukaryota; Metazoa; Arthropoda; Insecta; Coleoptera; Staphylinidae
Description: tRNA-His
Source: RNAcentral